Molecule: ribosomal RNA, 253 nt
Filed under: uncultured bacterium
Lineage: Bacteria
Description: partial 16S ribosomal RNA
Rfam family: Bacterial small subunit ribosomal RNA
Source: RNAcentral
UACGUAGGGUGCGAGCGUUGCCCGGAUUUAUUGGGCGUAAAGGGCGCGCAGGCGGUCACGCACGUCCGUUGUGAAAUCGCUCGGCUCAACUGGGCGGGGUCAGCGGAUACGGCGCGACUGGAGCAAGCUAGGGGGCAAUGGAAUUCCCGGUGUAGUGGUGGAAUGCGUAGAGAUCGGAAAGAACACCAACGGCGAAAGCACUCUGCUGGGCCGACACUGACACUGAGAGACGAAAGCUAGGGGAGCGAAUGGG